Molecule: ribosomal RNA, 498 nt
Filed under: uncultured bacterium
Lineage: Bacteria
Description: bacterial SSU rRNA
Rfam family: Bacterial small subunit ribosomal RNA
Source: RNAcentral
UGAACGCUGGCGGCGUGCUUAACACAUGCAAGUCGAACGAGAAAGUUCUUUUCGGAGAACGAGUAGAGUGGCGCACGGGUGAGUAACACGUGGAUAAUCUACCUUCAAGCCCGGGAUAACUAUUCGAAAGGAUAGCUAAUACCUGAUAAAGUAUAUGACUUUUAAGGUUAUAUAUGAAAGACAGCCUCUGAUUUAAGCUGUUGCUUGGAGAUGAGUCCGCGCACCAUUAGCUAGUUGGUGGGGUAAAGGCCUACCAAGGCAACGAUGGUUAGCUGGUCUGAGAGGAUGAUCAGCCACACUGGAACUGGAACACGGUCCAGACUCCUACGGGAGGCAGCAGUGAGGGAUUUUGCGCAAUGGGGGAAACCCUGACGCAGCAACGCCGCGUGAGUGAAGAAGGUCUUUGGGUCGUAAAGCUCUGUCAACAGGGAAGAAGUUACUAAUGUUUAAUAGAUGUUAGUAUUGACGGUACCUGUGAAGGAAGCACCGGCUAACUCC